AGCGAACGUUUGCGGCGGGCUUAACACAUGCAAGUCGAACGGGCUGUUCCUUCGGGGGCAGUCAGUGGCGCACGGGUGCGUAACACGUAGGUAAUCAACCCUCUGGUUGGGGAUAACACUUCGAAAGGAGUGCUAAUACCCGGUAUGGCGCAGCGGUCUUCGGAUCGCGGCGAGAAAGACCCGCAAGGGUUGCCAGAGGACGAGCCUGCGGCCCAUCAGCCUAGUUUGGCGAGGUAACGGCUCACCAAGGCGAAGACGGGUAGCUGGUUUGAGAGGAUGAUCAGCCACACUGGAACUGAGACACGGUCCAGACUCCUACGGGAGGCAGCAGUGGGGGAAUAUUGCGCAAUGGGCGAAAGCCCUG
RNAcentral lists this ribosomal RNA (364 nucleotides) under uncultured bacterium. RNAcentral's name for it is "bacterial SSU rRNA". It matches the Rfam family "Bacterial small subunit ribosomal RNA", at positions 29 to 386 of the family's 1533-position model. The record is from RNAcentral.